Molecule: small nucleolar RNA, 92 nt
Filed under: Diaporthe helianthi
Lineage: Eukaryota; Fungi; Ascomycota; Sordariomycetes; Diaporthales; Diaporthaceae
Description: A. fumigatus snoRNA Afu_513
Rfam family: A. fumigatus snoRNA Afu_513
Source: Rfam by way of RNAcentral
CAUCCUGAUGAAACGGCACUGGGCUCCGAAAUAUUUUUCAUGAGCAGAUAUGCCAUCUUUGCGACAGGCCUAGAAAACCUCGUCUACUGAUU